This 470-nucleotide non-coding RNA is filed under the name Hypsibius dujardini. Its description in RNAcentral is "Eukaryotic small subunit ribosomal RNA". It matches the Rfam family "Eukaryotic small subunit ribosomal RNA", at positions 1 to 480 of the family's 1831-position model. The record is from Rfam by way of RNAcentral. Lineage: Eukaryota; Metazoa; Tardigrada; Eutardigrada; Parachela; Hypsibiidae.
CACCUGGUUGAUCCUGCAGUAGUAUAUUGCUUGUUCUCAAAGAUUAAGCCAUGCAUGUCUCAGUACUUGCUUUAACAAGGCGAAACCGCGAAUGGCUCAUUAAAUCAGUUAUGGUUCACUAGAUCGUACAGUUUACAUGGAUAACUGUGGAAUUCUGAGCUAAUAACAUCAAACCAGUCCGUUCCCUCGUGAGGGCCAGUUAUUUGCCAGGACAUCCGGCCUCGGGUCGGUCAAUUGGUGACUCUGAAUAACGAAGCGGAGCGCAUGAUCUCGUACGGCGCAGAUUCUUCAGUGUCUGACUUAUCAGCUUGUUGUUUGGUUAUGUUCCUAACAAGGCUUUUACGGGUACGGAGUGUCAGGGGCCCGACCACGGAGAGGGAGCUGAAAAACGUGCUCCACAUACCAGGAAAAGGCAGCAGGCGCGCAAAUUACCACUCCGGCUGGAAGGGGAGGUAAGUGACGAAAAAUAG